Jaculus jaculus (lesser Egyptian jerboa) is the source of this 280-nucleotide long non-coding RNA. RefSeq lists it as uncharacterized. The transcript is spliced from 3 exons. The record is from RefSeq and is a predicted model, not a curated record. Lineage: Eukaryota; Metazoa; Chordata; Mammalia; Rodentia; Dipodidae.
GGACAGGCCACUUCUGUCUCUGAGAGCAGUGGGGACAUCUGAAGGAGCAGAGACUUCCCAGGGGACUCCCGCAGGAAGCACCUUUCUUUGGGCUCAAGCAGCCAGAAGAGUUGCUCAGAGACCCGAGCUACAUGUCCCUGCCACACUCCCGGGCUCCCCCGUCUCUGGAACUGUCAACGACUUUUUAAUAAUGUUCUACAGACUUAGACAUCCAAUUAAAAUUCCUCAAGGGCAGACACUGGACCUCAUUCAUCUCUGCAUACCAAGAACCUAAUACUGG